Phrynosoma platyrhinos (Desert horned lizard) is the source of this 71-nucleotide non-coding RNA. NCBI's taxonomy places the organism in Eukaryota, Metazoa, Chordata, Lepidosauria, Squamata, Phrynosomatidae. The record is from the annotation of a GenBank genome assembly.
GCCAGUGUGAUAUAGUGGUUUGUGUGUGGGACUAGGACUCUGGAGGUCAGGGUUCGAUUCCCUGUUUGGCC